GACGAACGCUGGCGGCGUGCUUAACACAUGCGAGUCGAACGGAAAGGCCCUGCUUUUGUGGGGUGCUCGAGUGGCGAACGGGUGAGUAACACGUGAGUAACCUGCCCUUGACUUUGGGAUAACUUCAGGAAACUGGGGCUAAUACCGGAUAGGAGCUCCUGCUGCAUGGUGGGGGUUGGAAAGUUUCGGCGGUUGGGGAUGGACUCGCGGCUUAUCAGCUUGUUGGUGGGGUAGUGGCUUACCAAGGCUUUGACGGGCAGCCGGCCUGAGAGGGUGACCGGCCACAUUGGGACUGAGAUACGGCCCAGACUCCUACGGGAGGCAGCAGUGGGGAAUAUUGCACAAUGGGCGGAAGCCUGAUGCAGCAACGCCGCGUGCGGGAUGACGGCCUUCGGGUUGUAAACCGCUUUCGCCUGUGACGAAGCGUGAGUGACGGUAAUGGGUAAAGAAGCACCGGCUAACUACGUG
RNAcentral lists this ribosomal RNA (468 nucleotides) under uncultured bacterium. RNAcentral describes it as "partial 16S ribosomal RNA". It matches the Rfam family "Bacterial small subunit ribosomal RNA", at positions 28 to 507 of the family's 1533-position model. The record is from RNAcentral.